Arachis ipaensis is the source of this 1494-nucleotide non-coding RNA. The record is from RefSeq and is a predicted model, not a curated record. NCBI's taxonomy places the organism in Eukaryota, Viridiplantae, Streptophyta, Magnoliopsida, Fabales, Fabaceae.
UAUUUUAGAAAUUCACUGGCAUAUAAUGUUUUUGCCAAUUUUUUCUUUUCAAGGUGACAUUGAUUUGUAUGGAGUUCUAUUCUAGUACUUCUUGUCUUCUUUUGCAUUCUGUGUUUAUCAAGCCACACAAAUAGAUUAAAGUUUUAUUUGAGUCCCUAGCAUUCAAAUAUUAACUUUAGUCUCUCAAGUUGAAAAGUAUAAGUCAUAUUAGUGGUUUUGCCUCAGAAAGCACACUAUUAAAAUGUAUACCAGAGUUGGGAAUUUCUUUGAUGAAGAGUUGAAUUGGGUGAAAAGAAAUUUUUUUUUCACCAAAUUUAUAAAAAAAAGUGAUAAGAUGCAAAUAAUUUGUAUUGAAUUUUAUUUGUCUGCUAUAGAGUGUAGUUGUUAGUGGUACAUUCACUGAAAUGAAGAAAGUUUGUUUUAAUUAAUUAUUUCUUCUUAGGCAUAGAAGAUACUUGUUGGUUGUUACCUUCUUUUGUAUCUUACUCUUAACAUGUAUCUUAGUCAAAAAAGUUGUCGUAUCUGAUUUAGGUGAUAUAUCAAAUACAUAGUUAUGGAUAUUUUUAAAUACACUUAGUCAUAAUAUAUCGAAUAUAUACUGUAUGCCAAUGUAUGUAUGUAAAAUAUAAAAGUUUGAACUACAAUUUAUCAAAAUAAGAUACAUGCAUUCUAACUUAAAACAAAUCGAAGAAACUAGGAAAACGAAUGACACACAAACAGUCCCAAAGAGAAGUAUAAUUAUUUCAUCCUCACCAUCCACAUAGCACCACAUAUUAAAAAAAAAAACAGCCCAAAAAAAAUUUACAAUUUUGGUCUCUAAAGUUUAGGUCAAAAAUUUUUUUCGUUUUUAAAAUUUUUUCCAUACAAAAUCGUCCCUAAAAUUUAACUUGAUUUUAAAAUUAGUAGUGUUAGGAAGCCAAUGGCCUAAGCUUACAAUGUGUACAAUGGGCUAAAUCUUUGGUUUAUGAACAAAAUGAACAUCACCUAUACUAUCCAGAAUAAACAAAAUGAAUAUCACCUAUACUAUCCAGAAUAACCAUCCAGAUACCAAGGAUAAUAAACAUCUCAUGUUAUAAAAAACUAAUUUUGAGUUCACCAAAGUUUGAACUCUUGUUCUUCCGAAUCUGGAAUUCUAAUACCAUGUCCUAAAACCCCUCAUCCAAAAAACACAAUGUAACACUAAUAAUCAUAUCUCUAAUACUUUCUAAACCUUCAUUGUACACAUUGUACGCUUAAGUCAUUGGCUCCCUAUACUUUCUCAAAAUAAAAUAGUAUGUAGCACAAAAAUUCAUAUAACGAACAUCAAAUAUAAUUUAAGAAUAUAUAAUAUAAUAUAUGUUCAAUCAACAAAAGAUUGCAUAAAGGAAGAGAAUAAUGUCACUCUAGAACUAAUCAUGCCAUUUUAAUAUAAGAAAAUUUUGUUACGAAUAUACUUUUAUUAAAAGUAAUACAUCUCAAUUAAAAUGAUUAAUUUGACAAAAUCCAGUCCCUCCU